RNAcentral lists this ribosomal RNA (627 nucleotides) under Triticum aestivum (bread wheat). Its description in RNAcentral is "partial small subunit ribosomal RNA". The record is from RNAcentral. Lineage: Eukaryota; Viridiplantae; Streptophyta; Magnoliopsida; Poales; Poaceae.
AUGCCACGUGGUGACAGUUUAGCAUCGGUUCAUGACGAACCGGUAGUGGGGGGCUUUAGUCUCCACUCUUUAGUGCCGGUUGCGGAACCGGCACUAAAGGCCCUUACGCUAAAGCCCGGUUCUGCACUAAUGGGCACCUCCGGCAGCGAGCGCAAGCUGAUUCCCAGCAUCGCGGAGGAGGGCCGCCGACGGCAGCUUCCCUUCGGUCUCCUUAAGGCAGUCAUGAACUUGCACUUCCCUGGGCUUGACAAGGGGAAGGGGCUGUACUUUCUCUUCGUCAAGUCGGAGACCAAGACGCCGGGCGGGCUGACGGCGUGGCCGAUGCUGACAAGCAUUUGCAAGAGCGAGCAGUUCAAGGACCCCUUGCGCGACCACACGAGCCCGAGGGCGGCCUUGCUCUGCGCGGACACGUCCCAGAGCAUGUACGCGCAGAUGGUGUGCGGCCUGUGCCAGCGCCGCGACGUCCUCCGCGUCGGCGCCGCGUUCGCCUCCGGCCUACCUGCCCAGUGGCGGAGCCAGAAAAAAUCGGACAAGGGGGGCCGAGUAUUGUUGAAGCUUGUUGAGGCGGGCCAAUCCAUUAAAAAACCCCAUUUUAGUAAAAAAAAUCAUUGUUACUGUUCAUAUUAG